RNAcentral lists this long non-coding RNA (332 nucleotides) under Gallus gallus (chicken). Lineage: Eukaryota; Metazoa; Chordata; Aves; Galliformes; Phasianidae. The record is from RNAcentral.
GACCGUAUCCCUUGUGUGCUACUGCCCACUGGGUUUCUUUUUACUGGAAAGGCAGUGGUGAGCUGUGGGAGAAAAUCCAAACCUGAAAGGUAGGACUGAAAAUCCAGACUGAAAAUAUCUUUGUCGUCUCCUUUUCCUGGAGGAUCUUCAUUUGCUUUAGACGCAAUAACAUCAUCUCUGACGGGAGAAAACACAUCUCCUAAACUGCUUCGACCCAAGUCAUCAAAACUGUUUAAAUCUGCACUUUUCCCAUUAUCUGUUUCUUUCGAUGGAAUCACAUCCAGGCUGCAGCUGUGGGGAAGGCCUGUUUUAUCCUGAAGAAUCUCUCCCCC